Molecule: ribosomal RNA, 174 nt
Filed under: Didymellaceae sp.
Lineage: Eukaryota; Fungi; Ascomycota; Dothideomycetes; Pleosporales; Didymellaceae
Description: partial small subunit ribosomal RNA
Rfam family: Eukaryotic small subunit ribosomal RNA
Source: RNAcentral
CUGCUAAAUAGCCAGGCUAGCUUUGGCUGGUCGCCGGCUUCUUAGAGGGACUAUCGGCUCAAGCCGAUGGAAGUUUGAGGUAAUAAUAGGUUUGUGAUGUUUUUAGAUGUUCUGGGUUGUAUGUGUGCUACAUUGAUAGAGCCAACGAGUUAUUCACCUUGGCCGGAAGGUCUG